Small nuclear RNA from Hemibagrus wyckioides, 191 nucleotides. RefSeq annotates it as U2 spliceosomal RNA. Lineage: Eukaryota; Metazoa; Chordata; Actinopteri; Siluriformes; Bagridae. The record is from RefSeq and is a predicted model, not a curated record. The transcript has a single exon.
AUAAAUUCUCUCCCUUUUGGCUAAGAUCAAGUGUAGUAUCUGUUCUUAUCAGGUUAAUAUCCAAUAUGUCCUUUAUAUGAGGACUUUAUAUUAAACAGAUUUUUAGAGCCGGAAGCUGGAAAAGGGGCUUGCUCUGUCCGCUCCAUGCAUCGACCUGGUAUUGCAGUACUUCCAUGCUUGGUGCACUAUUU